Molecule: ribosomal RNA, 460 nt
Filed under: uncultured bacterium
Lineage: Bacteria
Description: partial 16S ribosomal RNA
Rfam family: Bacterial small subunit ribosomal RNA
Source: RNAcentral
CCUACGGGAGGCAGCAGUGAGGAAUAUUGGUCAAUGGGCGCGAGCCUGAACCAGCCAAGUAGCGUGAAGGAUGACUGCCCUAUGGGUUGUAAACUUCUUUUAUAGGGGAAUAAAGUGCAGUAUGUAUACUGCUUUGCAUGUACCUUAUGAAUAAGGAUCGGCUAACUCCGUGCCAGCAGCCGCGGUAAUACGGAGGAUCCGAGCGUUAUCCGGAUGUAUUGGGUUUAAAGGGAGCGUAGGCGGGUUGUUAAGUCAGUUGGGAAAGUUUGCGGACCAAACGGAAAAUUGCAGUUGAUACUGGCAGCCUUGAGUACAGUAGAGGUAGGCGGAAUUCGUGGUGUAGCGGUGAAAUGCUUAGAUAUCACGAAGAACACCGAUUGCGAAGGCAGCCUGCUGGACUGUAACUGACGCUGAUGCUCGAAAGUGUGGGUAUCAAACAGGAUUAGAUACCCUGGUAGUC